UGCGCAGGCGGUUUUGUAAGACAGUGGUGAAAUCCCCGGGCUCAACCUGGGAACUGCCAUUGUGACUGCAAGGCUAGAGUGCGGCAGAGGGGGAUGGAAUUCCGCGUGUAGCAGUGAAAUGCGUAGAUAUGCGGAGGAACACCGAUGGCGAAGGCAAUCCCCUGGACCUGUACUGACGCUCAUGCACGAAAGCUGGGAGCAAACA
RNAcentral lists this ribosomal RNA (205 nucleotides) under uncultured bacterium. RNAcentral describes it as "partial 16S ribosomal RNA". It matches the Rfam family "Bacterial small subunit ribosomal RNA", at positions 568 to 774 of the family's 1533-position model. The record is from RNAcentral.